This 5070-nucleotide long non-coding RNA is filed under the name Sus scrofa (pig). RNAcentral describes it as "lncRNA (ENSSSCG00065049357.1)". The record is from RNAcentral. Lineage: Eukaryota; Metazoa; Chordata; Mammalia; Artiodactyla; Suidae.
UUUUUCUUCUUCUUCUUUUUUUUUUUUUUUCUUUUUUUGGUCUGUGCCUGUAGCAUGUGUGAGUUCCUGGGCCAGGAAUCAAACCCUAGCCACAGCAGCGACCCGAGUCCCUGUAGGGACAGCACUGGGUCCUUAACUCGAUGUGCCACAAGGGAACUCAAAAUGUUCACUCUAACCUCUUUUGAUAAACCAGAAUUCAAGUUUCUGUCUCACUGACCUCAGAAAGUACUAAAAUGCCAUGGAAAUAACAUAUUUUCAACACAUGAACAACAUAUCCUUGGCAAAUCCUGUCCUUGUGGGCAAGCACUCUGACCAUGUAGUUCGUGUUGGGAUUCAGAAAUACAGCAUUUUCACUUAAAUGUUAGUAAAAAUCAUUUUGGGAAAUAAUGGCUAUGCAAUACGUACAGCUAGCCCAUCUGUAGGUAAUGAGAAAUCACCAUUUUAGCCCCAACUUCCUCAUAAGAUGUUUGUAGGACCCAUGAUCCAAAUGAUAAGAAACAAGAUCCUUAUUCACACUCAUGGCCUUGAAAACAUCGAGUUUGGAGCAGUUCUCAGCAGACCUCUCGCCACCCUGCUCAGGCCUGUGACCUCACAGAUUUUGGAUGGCAUUGUUGGUACAAUACCAGGGCUACUCUAGGCAGAAAUGCCCACUGUUCCUCUUUCCCGUACAUUCCUCUGCCACCCAGCAUGACCGUGUUGCCAGACAGGGAAGUUCACCUGGGGAAGGCAGGGCUGUCCCCUGAAACCUGAACACUGGGGUGACAGGUGGCAACCACGCGGUCAGUAGCUGGGUCGCUGUGGAUCCUAAGAUCCUUUGAGCCCCUGCUGAAAGGAAACCUCUCCCUGCUCCAUCUAAGCCCUGGUCCAGGUAUCUUCCCUACCCCAGCUCACCACAGGCACACUGGGCAGAACAGCAGGUCCCUUCACUGGGCUGACCUGAAAGGGUUGUACAUUCCCUCUGCUCCCCUUGGUUCACCUGAUGGAAAUCUGGAGCUGCCAAGGAGGGGUAGGUGCAAAUCCUCAGCCACUCGGAGGUAAGGAAAGAACACCUGUCCAGUGCUUAAUAAAAGCCAUCGUUCUUCUGCCUUUUCAGUCAGCUUCCUGCCCUGCAGCAGUGCUUGAAAAAUGGGAAAUAACAUAACCUAGAACUUUGUUUAAUCAUCCAACCUCCUCAGAGUAAAAAGCCUCUUUCUCUUGCAAUAAUAACAUAAUUUGCAGCGAACCGGCAAAGGCCUUUCAAGGCUUUAUUUUUUAUGGGUAAUAUUAUGUGUGCCUACAGAAAAUGUUAAUACGCAAGUGCUUCUGUGGAGGUGCGUGUUUGUAAACAGUGUCAGUAGCUGGCAUCCUGAAUACCAUAGUUCCCCAUGCAGUUAUUAUCCACAUCACCUUCGCUGCGAGUGAAAUAUGCUGCACGUCAGAGACUGCCAGACUUUAUAUAGUUCUCAGUCCAGUGAAAUAAAAAAACAGCCAAAACUAAGGGUUCUGAUUCAGAGCACCAAACUCUUAUUUUACCAAAUAAAAGCCUACAUAUGCCCACCAUCUACCAUUAAACCAUUCAUCCAUUAGGUUCAACUUACCAGCAACCCCUAUUUUCUACUUAUAACAUAGGGCUGAACAGAAAAGUAAAAUCUCUGACACAUGGAGCCAGUAAUUCUGUGAAACGUCACACCCUCAGGGAAGGAAGGGUGAGCCACAAACACAAUGCAUUUAAUUGGGUACCUUUUGUUGUAUAUGAAAAGCAUCCUGUAGCACCCUCGGUUUGUCCUUUCACUUGAGACUUCUGACGGUUUUUUAGAGAGGGGAAACAAGUGAACCUUCCUCUCCGGAUCUUCACGUGUUCAAAGUAGUAAAAAACCACCGCCACACAUCUAGUGUGAUGCACUUGUGGAUUAUUCUCAUCAACGCAUUUAAAAUGUUUACAUGUGUUGUUAUGCUGUUUAUUCUUAUAUCUCUUUUACCAUGUGUCAGAUUCUAUGUCUUUCUUUAUCAUUCCCUAAGGUAAUUUAUUCCUGGCUUACCUUUGUUUUCUCUGCCCUCAAGGGGUCACAUUUAACGUGAAUGAUCUGAAUGUUUGCUCCACAGAUGGGAAGCAUUAGAUGAGUGGAUGGCGCCACUGAGUAUCUUUCCAGGGUUUUUGAAGCUAGUUACCAGGCAGACAUCACCAACCGGUCUGCCCAAUGUGUCAGAUGUUUGGAGGGUAGUACUGAAACCUAUUUAGUGAUAAAACUUCUCAAUGUAUGCUUUUCAGAUGAAGUGCAGUUCUUAGAAGUAACUGACAUUUAAUUGUCAUUGGUUUUAUACUGUAGGUUUGUAUUUGUAGAGCUGAAAACAGCUCAUCCCAAAUUGUGCUUUCUCUCCAAUUUUAAUUACUUUCAAUUCACCUUAUUAAUCCCCAAAGGGCAAAUAUUACCUAAAUUCCGAAACUGUGGACCUUUGUGCUCCAGGUCCAGGUCCUGCUCUCUGUGCCAGGGGCCUGCUGGUGCCUCCCACCCCCAGUGCUCUGCCCAGAGAAAGUGCCUUGCUGUCAGUGCUGUCUUUACACUCGUCCACUUGUACAUGUGUGUGGGGUGAGUGACAGCCACUCCCUUCUUUCCCCGGACUCUGUAGACAUGACAUGUCUGCCAGUGAUAAAUAUGGAUCCUGCUACAGUGUAUGUCUGUGACGUUCUGUCAGUUCCUCACCUUUGGAACUGUUUAAAAGUUGGAUGAACAACCAUGACUAGAUACAAAAAUGAAAAAAGAUCUAUAAAAUAUAUAUCAGCCAAAUUCAAUUGCUGCUUUUAGGCAGCAAUAUUAGGGUCCCCCUACAUACUUACAUACUUUCUCUUCUCCUUUACUCCGUUGCCUGUGAUUUAUUAUUUCCGGUUUCCGGUGUAACCUGGCAAUCUAGAACCGCACACCAUUGUUUUGUAUCCCCUCACAUCUGACGUGCUUCUAUGCUCUCAUCUGUAGGCAUUAGUUUUGGACCUGUGUUAGGAUAAUUAUUUCACAAACAUAACAAAAUUUGAAAAUUUUGCUGCUGGCCAAAGUGGAAGCAUAUCCCAGAAAGAAGGUAUAUUAUAUCUUUCAAAUCUCAGAAAAUCUCUUCAGAAUCUUUUCUUCAUGAGCAUGUAUGCAUUUGUGUAUUUCUUUGUUGUGAGGACUAAAGAGACUCACUCUACCUAUGCAUCAGGGAAGGUGAUAGAGAAAGAGAGGAAAUCAGUUUGCAACUGGUUCUUCCAUAGAAUAUCAGUGUGACCCUAAGCAUCUUAUUUCAUCCCAUGGUGUCUCAGAUUCAUCAUGCAUUAAUUGUCUGAGGUGGACAGUAGAAGCUCUAACUGAUUAAGAUCUGUGGUUUUAUGGUAGUAGUUGGGGAAAAUAGUGACAUACUGAAAAAUAGUUUUGUCUGACAUAACAGCAGCAGCAUGGAACAUUAAAGUUAGCUCUCUGGUCCUUCACCUUCCUCAAAAAACUCCCAAUUAAGUGUGUUUGGACUUUUUUACUGAUAUUUUUGGCUCUAGGGUUGCAGCCCAGUGGCAGCUGUGCAGUACAUGUUAAUUCGUGUUCUAAUCAACAGUAUGCAUGUAAAUUCAUAGUCUUUCUCAUCUAUGAGUUUCUCCUUCAUCUCGAGAUAUUUGACAUCAGUAACUAUAGCAAUGUGAGUAUUACCAACACCAAUGAACACAAAACAUUAAAUUGCACCUCAUCAGAGACUUUAUAAAAUUCAGUAUUUCCUUUGUGCCUCCCUUAUACAGCACUUCCCUGUUUUGUACAUGUUUAGAAAUCUCUCUUUCACCAACAUAGUAUUAUUUUAUUUUGUUUUUUUCAGAUUCCCACUGGUGUUUCUACUGGUAGGGACUAGGAAUCCCUCCCGCAAACCAAGAAGUACCCUAAAGCCUUAGGAAGCAGGGUGGUGGUCUGCCUGCCGCGGGAUUGGCUGUCCCCUCAGCCCUCAGCUGUUUCUGUGCCAUUUCCCCUGGGAGGGCUCAGUGCCAAAUGCUCACACUGCACAGGGCGAACGCUGAUGCAUUUGCACUUUAUCCCAGUCUCCCAGCUUCUUUAUCUCAGGUGUGGAAAUCUGUGCUUCAGUGCCCACUGUGGAUACUUUGGUUUAUGUCUUACAAUCCAUUUUUGGAGGGGGAGGCGAUUAGCAACAUAUCCCUGACAAAUGGUUGAGGUUUAUUAGGCACACAGAGAUUGGCUAACACCUGGGAUCAGAAGACAGACUGCCUUGUUUUGAAAGCUGCUUCUUCCACAGAAUGGCUGGGCGAUUUUAAAGCAUGAUUACCUAGCUUGAAAACUCAGAUAAUAAGAAUAACCCUUCCAUAGAUUGUUGUCAGAAUUCAGUGACUUAAUCCCUGAUCAGCCCUUAAAACACUGCUUAAUAUAUGCCAAAUGCUUGGUGUUGUCAGUUGUCUCUGUUAUUGGCAUCUAUUAACAUAGUUAUUGUUUUCUAAAGAAUUACACCAGCUCUGGAAUGCCUUUCUCUAGGAUUUCUAUUCAUCUUCUUAAUCGUGGCCUUGCUUUCUUCAUACAGAACCAAAUGCUACCAUAAGAAUUCUUAUCCUAGGUAUUAAACCUGGAGAACUUUCUUGCACUCAGCCAUUUUGAAAUUACCAUAAAGAUUCAUGAAUAACAAGAACUUCUUUUAAGUGGAAUCUCUAAUAUCCUUUCAGCAGUGUUCCUAUUGUUUUAGGUAUUUUUUUUUUAUUUUUAUUUUUCCCAAAUCAGAGUCCUAGUAUUGUACUUAGUUUUGUGACUUUGGGCAAGAUAACUUAGUAUUUCCUUUUCAGUUUGCUGGGAAUAACAUACAACUGUAUAUCACUGGUCUCCAUGAAAAUUAAAUAACUUUAUGAGUUCCCGUCGUGGUGCAGUGGUUAACGAAUCAGACUAGGAACCAUGAGGUUGCGGGUUCGAUCCCUGGCCUUGCUCAGUGGGUUAACGAUCCGGCAUUGCCGUGAGCUGUGGUGUAGGUUGCAGACGCGGCUCGGAUCCCAUGUUGCUGUGGCUCUGGCAUAGACUGGCAGCUACAGCUCCGAUUAGACCCCUAGCCUGGGAACCUCCAUAUGCCGCGGGAGCGGCCCAAGAAAUG